Molecule: ribosomal RNA, 213 nt
Filed under: uncultured Lactobacillus sp.
Lineage: Bacteria; Bacillati; Bacillota; Bacilli; Lactobacillales; Lactobacillaceae
Description: partial 16S ribosomal RNA
Rfam family: Bacterial small subunit ribosomal RNA
Source: RNAcentral
CCUGGAAACAGAUGCUAAUACCGGAUAACAACAGAUGAUGCCUAUCAACUGUUUAAAAGAUGGUUCUGCUAUCACUCUUGGAUGGACCUGCGGUGCAUUAGCUAGUUGGUAGGGUAACGGCCUACCAAGGCGAUGAUGCAUAGCCGAGUUGAGAGACUGAUCGGCCACAUUGGGACUGAGACACGGCCCAAACUCCUACGGGAGGCAGCAGUC